AUUGAACGCUGGCGGCAUGCCUUACACAUGCAAGUCGAACGGCAGCACGGGAGCUUGCUCCUGGUGGCGAGUGGCGAACGGGUGAGUAAUACAUCGGAACGUACCCUGAAGUGGGGGAUAACGUAGCGAAAGUUACGCUAAUACCGCAUAUUCUGUGAGCAGGAAAGAGGGGGAUCGCAAGACCUCUUGCUUUAGGAGCGGCCGAUGUCGGAUUAGCUAGUUGGUGAGGUAAAGGCUCACCAAGCGACGAUCCGUAGCGGGUCUGAGAGGAUGAUCCGCCACACUGGGACUGAGACACGGCCCAGACUCCUACGGGAGGCAGCAGUGGGGAAUUUUGGACAAUGGGCGCAAGCCUGAUCCAGCCAUGCCGCGUGAGUGAAGAAGGCCU
RNAcentral lists this ribosomal RNA (388 nucleotides) under uncultured bacterium. RNAcentral describes it as "bacterial SSU rRNA". It matches the Rfam family "Bacterial small subunit ribosomal RNA", at positions 30 to 417 of the family's 1533-position model. The record is from RNAcentral.